This 93-nucleotide transfer RNA is filed under the name Kiritimatiellia bacterium. RNAcentral describes it as "Kiritimatiellae bacterium (gut metagenome) tRNA-Ser". It matches the Rfam family "tRNA". Rfam says of the family: Transfer RNA (tRNA) molecules are approximately 80 nucleotides in length. Their secondary structure includes four short double-helical elements and three loops (D, anti-codon, and T loops). Further hydrogen bonds mediate the characteristic L-shaped molecular structure. tRNAs have two regions of fundamental functional importance: the anti-codon, which is responsible for specific mRNA codon recognition, and the 3' end, to which the tRNAs corresponding amino acid is attached (by aminoacyl-tRNA synthetases). tRNAs cope with the degeneracy of the genetic code in two manners: having more than one tRNA (with a specific anti-codon) for a particular amino acid; and 'wobble' base-pairing, i.e. permitting non-standard base-pairing at the 3rd anti-codon position. Lineage: Bacteria; Pseudomonadati; Kiritimatiellota; Kiritimatiellia. The record is from RNAcentral. RNAcentral also lists the same sequence under 1 other name.
GGAGAGAUGGCUGAGUGGCUGAAGGCAGCGGUUUGCUAAAUCGUCGUACGGGGUAAACCCGUACCGGGGGUUCGAAUCCCCCUCUCUCCGCCA